RNAcentral lists this transfer RNA (70 nucleotides) under Dipodomys ordii (Ord's kangaroo rat). It matches the Rfam family "tRNA". From Rfam's summary of the family: Transfer RNA (tRNA) molecules are approximately 80 nucleotides in length. Their secondary structure includes four short double-helical elements and three loops (D, anti-codon, and T loops). The record is from Rfam by way of RNAcentral. Lineage: Eukaryota; Metazoa; Chordata; Mammalia; Rodentia; Heteromyidae.
GGAAAUGUGGCUAAGUGGUAGACUGCUUGUCUGGCAUGCAUGAAGCCCUAGGUUCAAUUCCUCAUUACCA